UUCAAUUGUGGCUAUAUCUCA
RNAcentral lists this non-coding RNA (21 nucleotides) under Arabidopsis thaliana (thale cress). Lineage: Eukaryota; Viridiplantae; Streptophyta; Magnoliopsida; Brassicales; Brassicaceae. The record is from RNAcentral.